GGGUUGUGAGGUUAAGCGAACAAGCGUACACGGUGGAUGCCCUGGCAGUCAGAGGCGAUGAAGGACGUGCUAAUCUGCGAAAAGCGCCGGUAAGGUGAUAUGAACCGUUAUAACCGGCGAUGUCCGAAUGGGGAAACCCGGUGCACUUCGGUGCAUCAUCGUUAGCUGAAUACAUAGGCUAACGAGGCGAACCGGGGGAACUGAAACAUCUAAGUACCCCGAGGAAAAGAAAUCAACCGAGAUUCCCCCAGUAGCGGCGAGCGAACGGGGAACAGCCCAGAGCCUGAAUCAGCUUGUGUGUCAGUGGAACGGUCUGGAAAGGCCGGCGAUACAGGGUGACAGCCCCGUACACGAAGGCACACAGGCUGUGAGCUCGAUGAGUAGGGCGGGACACGUGAUAUCCUGUCUGAAGAUGGGGGGACCAUCCUCCAAGGCUAAAUACUCCUGACUGACCGAUAGUGAACCAGUACCGUGAGGGAAAGGCGAAAAGAACCCCGGCGAGGGGAGUGAAACAGAACCUGAAACCGUGUACGUACAAGCAGUGGGAGCCUUCGUAAGAGGGUGACUGCGUACCUUUUGUAUAAUGGGUCAGCGACUUAUAUUCUGUAGCAAGGUUAACCGUAUAGGGGAGCCGAAGGGAAACCGAGUCUUAACCGGGCGUUAAGUUGCAGGGUAUAGACCCGAAACCCGGUGAUCUAGCCAUGGGCAGGUUGAAGGUUGGGUAACACUAACUGGAGGACCGAACCGACUAAUGUUGAAAAAUUAGCGGAUGACCUGUGGCUGGGGGUGAAAGGCCAAUCAAACCGGGAGAUAGCUGGUUCUCCCCGAAAGCUAUUUAGGUAGCGCCUCGUGAACUCAUCUCCGGGGGUAGAGCACUGUUUCGGCUAGGGGGCCAUCCCGGCUUACCAACCCGAUGCAAACUGCGAAUACCGGAGAAUGUUAUCACGGGAGACACACGGCGGGUGCUAACGUCCGUCGUGAAGAGGGAAACAACCCAGACCGCCAGCUAAGGUCCCAAAGUCAUGGUUAAGUGGGAAACGAUGUGGGAAGGCCCAGACAGCCAGGAUGUUGGCUUAGAAGCAGCCAUCAUUUAAAGAAAGCGUAAUAGCUCACUGGUCGAGUCGGCCUGCGCGGAAGAUGUAACGGGGCUAAACCAUGCACCGAAGCUGCGGCAGCGACGCUUAUGCGUUGUUGGGUAGGGGAGCGUUCUGUAAGCCUGCGAAGGUGUGCUGUGAGGCAUGCUGGAGGUAUCAGAAGUGCGAAUGCUGACAUAAGUAACGAUAAAGCGGGUGAAAAGCCCGCUCGCCGGAAGACCAAGGGUUCCUGUCCAACGUUAAUCGGGGCAGGGUGAGUCGACCCCUAAGGCGAGGCCGAAAGGCGUAGUCGAUGGGAAACAGGUUAAUAUUCCUGUACUUGGUGUUACUGCGAAGGGGGGACGGAGAAGGCUAUGUCGGCCGGGCGACGGUUGUCCCGGUUUAAGCGUGUAGGCUGACUUUCCAGGCAAAUCCGGAAAGUUAAGGCUGAGGCGUGAUGACGAGGCACCACGGUGCUGAAGUGACAAAUGCCCUGCUUCCAGGAAAAGCCUCUAAGCAUCAGGUAACAUCAAAUCGUACCCCAAACCGACACAGGUGGUCAGGUAGAGAAUACCAAGGCGCUUGAGAGAACUCGGGUGAAGGAACUAGGCAAAAUGGUGCCGUAACUUCGGGAGAAGGCACGCUGACAUGUAGGUGAAGCCCCUGCGGGUGGAGCUGAAGUCAGUCGAAGAUACCAGCUGGCUGCAACUGUUUAUUAAAAACACAGCACUGUGCAAACACGAAAGUGGACGUAUACGGUGUGACGCCUGCCCGGUGCCGGAAGGUUAAUUGAUGGGGUUAUCGCAAGAGAAGCUCCUGAUCGAAGCCCCGGUAAACGGCGGCCGUAACUAUAACGGUCCUAAGGUAGCGAAAUUCCUUGUCGGGUAAGUUCCGACCUGCACGAAUGGCGUAAUGAUGGCCAGGCUGUCUCCACCCGAGACUCAGUGAAAUUGAACUCGCUGUGAAGAUGCAGUGUACCCGCGGCAAGACGGAAAGACCCCGUGAACCUUUACUACAGCUUGACACUGAACAUUGAGCCUUGAUGUGUAGGAUAGGUGGGAGGCUUUGAAGCGUGGACGCCAGUCUGCGUGGAGCCGACCUUGAAAUACCACCCUUUAAUGUUUGAUGUUCUAACCUGGCGCCGUGAUCCGGCGUGGGGACAGUGUCUGGUGGGUAGUUUGACUGGGGCGGUCUCCUCCCAAAGUGUAACGGAGGAGCACGAAGGUCAGCUAAUCCUGGUCGGACAUCAGGAGGUUAGUGCAAUGGCAUAAGCUGGCUUGACUGCGAGAGUGACGGCUCGAGCAGGUGCGAAAGCAGGUCAUAGUGAUCCGGUGGUUCUGUAUGGAAGGGCCAUCGCUCAACGGAUAAAAGGUACUCCGGGGAUAACAGGCUGAUACCGCCCAAGAGUUCAUAUCGACGGCGGUGUUUGGCACCUCGAUGUCGGCUCAUCACAUCCUGGGGCUGAAGUAGGUCCCAAGGGUAUGGCUGUUCGCCAUUUAAAGUGGUACGCGAGCUGGGUUUAGAACGUCGUGAGACAGUUCGGUCCCUAUCUGCCGUGGGCGCUGGAGAAUUGAGGGGGGCUGCUCCCAGUACGAGAGGACCGGAGUGGACGCAUCACUGGUGUUCGGGUUGUCAUGCCAAUGGCACUGCCCGGUAGCUAAAUGCGGAAGAGAUAAGUGCUGAAAGCAUCUAAGCACGAAACUUGCCCCGAGAUGAGUUCUCCCUGAGACUAUAAGUCUCCUGAAGGAACGUUGAAGACGACGACGUUGAUAGGCCGGGUGUGUAAGCGCAGCGAUGCGUUGAGCUAACCGGUACUAAUGAACCGUGAGGCUUAACCUUACAACGCCAAAGAAGU
RNAcentral lists this ribosomal RNA (2928 nucleotides) under Cronobacter sakazakii. RNAcentral's name for it is "bacterial LSU rRNA". It matches the Rfam family "Bacterial large subunit ribosomal RNA". Lineage: Bacteria; Pseudomonadati; Pseudomonadota; Gammaproteobacteria; Enterobacterales; Enterobacteriaceae. The record is from RNAcentral.